Molecule: ribosomal RNA, 253 nt
Filed under: uncultured bacterium
Lineage: Bacteria
Also listed under: 2 other names
Description: partial 16S ribosomal RNA
Rfam family: Bacterial small subunit ribosomal RNA
Source: RNAcentral
UACGUAUGUUCCAAGCGUUAUCCGGAUUUAUUGGGCGUAAAGCGAGCGCAGACGGUUAUUUAAGUCUGAAGUGAAAGCCCUCAGCUCAACUGAGGAAUUGCUUUGGAAACUGGAUGACUUGAGUGCAGUAGAGGAAAGUGGAACUCCAUGUGUAGCGGUGAAAUGCGUAGAUAUAUGGAAGAACACCAGUGGCGAAGGCGGCUUUCUGGACUGUAACUGACGUUGAGGCUCGAAAGUGUGGGUAGCAAACAGG